This 84-nucleotide transfer RNA is filed under the name Candidatus Woesearchaeota archaeon. RNAcentral's name for it is "tRNA-Leu". It matches the Rfam family "tRNA". Rfam says of the family: Transfer RNA (tRNA) molecules are approximately 80 nucleotides in length. Lineage: Archaea; Nanobdellati; Candidatus Woesearchaeota. The record is from RNAcentral.
GCGGACGUGCCGGAGCGGUCAAACGGGACGGGCUUAGGACCCGUUAGCUUAGUGCUUACGCAGGUUCGAAUCCUGCCGUCCGCA